Molecule: ribosomal RNA, 382 nt
Filed under: uncultured bacterium
Lineage: Bacteria
Description: bacterial SSU rRNA
Rfam family: Bacterial small subunit ribosomal RNA
Source: RNAcentral
AUUGAACGCUGGCGGAAUGCUUUACACAUGCAAGUCGAACGGCAGCACGGGGCAACCUGGUGGCGAGUGGCGAACGGGUGAGUAAUACAUCGGAACGUGCCCAAUCGUGGGGGAUAACGUAGCGAAAGUUACGCUAAUACCGCAUACGAUCUACGGAUGAAAGCGGGGGAUCGCAAGACCUCGCGCGAGUGGAGCGGCCGAUGUCAGAUUAGGUAGUUGGUGGGGUAAAGGCUCACCAAGCCAACGAUCUGUAGCUGGUCUGAGAGGACGACCAGCCACACUGGAACUGAGACACGGUCCAGACUCCUACGGGAGGCAGCAGUGGGGAAUUUUGAACAAUGGGCGCAAGCCUGAUCCAGCCAUUCCGCGUGCAGGAUGAAGG